Molecule: ribosomal RNA, 573 nt
Filed under: uncultured ciliate
Lineage: Eukaryota; Ciliophora
Description: partial large subunit ribosomal RNA
Rfam family: Eukaryotic large subunit ribosomal RNA
Source: RNAcentral
GCUGAAAUUUAAGCAUAUCAGUAAGUGGAGGAAAAGAAACUAACUAGGAUUACCUCAGUAGCGGCGAGUGAACCGGUAAAAGCUCAUAUUGAAAAUCGCGCAAGCGAAUUGUAAUCUAUAGAACUCCUCUGAAGGCGGAGUCUUGGCAGAAGUCAUUGAAAAGUGACAGCAGAGAGGGUGAUACUCCCGUACUCGGCCAGGACAAGCAAUAGGAAGGGAUUCAAAGAGUCGCGUUGCUUGGGAUUGCAGCGCUAAUUGGGAGAUAAACUUCUUCUAAAGCUAAAUAUUUAUGGGAAACCGAUAGCGAACAAGUACUGUGAAGGAAAGAUGAAAAGAACUUUGAAAAGAGGGUUAAAAGACUUGAAAUUGUUGAAAAGGAAGCGGUUGGAGAGAAUUAUUGGCUGCGCGUGGACUAAAGGUUCUUUCGUAGUCAGUAGGCAAAUUGGGGUGUUUUUGCAGGAUUCAAUUUUUGGGAAGAUUUCCUGGGAAUAAAGCUGCAGAGGCGCCCGAGGGAGCGAUGCUGAAUUUGCCGAAACAGCUUCAACUGACCCGUCUUGAAACAGGGACCAAGGA